This 485-nucleotide ribosomal RNA is filed under the name uncultured bacterium. RNAcentral describes it as "partial 16S ribosomal RNA". It matches the Rfam family "Bacterial small subunit ribosomal RNA", at positions 28 to 523 of the family's 1533-position model. The record is from RNAcentral.
GAUGAACGCUGGCGGCGUGCCUAAUACAUGCAAGUCGAGCGAAUGGAUUAAGAGCUUGCUCUUAUGAAGUUAGCGGCGAACGGGUGAGUAACACGUGGGCAACCUGCCCCUAACUUUGGGAUAACUACUCGAAAGAGUAGCUAAUACCGGAUAUGAAGUCUGUAGGCAUCUACGGACUUGGAAAGUUUUUCGGUUAGGGAUGGACCCGCGGCCUAUCAGCUUGUUGGUGAGGUAGUGGCUCACCAAGGCGACGACGGGUAGCCGGCCUGAGAGGGCGACCGGCCACACUGGGACUGAGACACGGCCCAGACUCCUACGGGAGGCAGCAGUGGGGAAUAUUGCGCAAUGGGCGAAAGCCUGACGCAGCAACGCCGCGUGCGGGAUGAAGGCCUUCGGGUUGUAAACCGCUUUCAGCAGGGAAGAAGCGAAAGUGACGGUACCUGCAGAAGAAGCACCGGCUAACUACGUGCCAGCAGCCGCAGUAA